GCAAAGCCUGAUUGUGUAGACAUAGAUAGGGCUGCUUUACUAGGAAUUAUGGAUCGCAAUCAGUCCCACUACGGCACAUCUUCGCGUUCAACAAUAUUUCGACUCAAAUUCUAAGUGGUCGAUCAAGAAAAUUAUAAUUACACAAAAAAA
Molecule: long non-coding RNA, 150 nt
Organism: Octopus sinensis (East Asian common octopus)
Lineage: Eukaryota; Metazoa; Mollusca; Cephalopoda; Octopoda; Octopodidae
Exons: 2
Source: RefSeq, a predicted model, not a curated record